This 506-nucleotide long non-coding RNA is filed under the name Ricinus communis (castor bean). Its description in RNAcentral is "long non-coding RNA (RCOM_LNC003598)". Lineage: Eukaryota; Viridiplantae; Streptophyta; Magnoliopsida; Malpighiales; Euphorbiaceae. The record is from RNAcentral.
ACAAAAUUUAUUCCACAUGCAACGGGACAGAGUACUUCAGUAGAACUCUAAUCCCAACUCUAAAAUCUCGAUUAUUUCAACACUUAUGUCUCAACUAACCUCAACUCUAACAUCUCAAACCUCUCAUUCCAACAGGACUGGGGCCCAGAGAGCAAAGCUCGACCAGGGACCUUACCUCCAGUCCGGUCACUUAACUCUCAGCCUUAGCCUUUUGGCUCUCUUAUCCAAUAAGACUGGCGCCCCGAGAGCAAAGCUCGACCAGGGACCUUACCUCCAGUCUGGUCACUUAAAUAUCCAAAUAAGAAAUCUAGUAGCCAUUCGGCUCUCUUAAUCCAAUAAGACUGGCGCCCCGAGAGCAAUGCUCGACCAGGGACCUUACCUUCAGUCUGGUCACUUAAAUAUCCAAAUAAGCCGGCGCCCCGAGAGCAAUGCUCGACCAGGGACCUUUACUCCGGCAACCACACUCUACUAAGCCCAGAGAGCGAUGCUCGACCAGGGCAGGUCCU